ACGAGUUUUUUUUGGUUAGCUCCGAAAACUCCCACCCUUGUGUAUUUUCGCUGAAAAGCAGCUUCGGCGGGCCGUCAGACCUUAGCGAUAAGAUCCUGACAUUGGCCUUGUGCGGAUUUGCGUCCGCCGAAGAUCCAAACUCUUACAAUUUGAAGUCUGAUAAAAACAAAAUAAAUCA
RNAcentral lists this unclassified non-coding RNA (178 nucleotides) under uncultured Sordariomycetes. RNAcentral's name for it is "sequence contains ITS1". The record is from RNAcentral. Lineage: Eukaryota; Fungi; Ascomycota; Sordariomycetes.